GACGAACGCUGGCGGCGUGCUUAACACAUGCAAGUCGAGCGGUAAGGCCCUUUCGGGGGUACACGAGCGGCGAACGGGUGAGUAACACGUGGGUGACCUGCCCUCAGCUCUGGGAUAAGCCUGGGAAACCGGGUCUAAUACCGGAUAUGACUCCAUGACGCAUGUUGUGGGGUGGAAAGCCUUGUGCGGCUGAGGAUGGGCCCGCGGCCUAUCAGCUUGUUGGUGGGGUGAUGGCCACCAAGGCGACGACGGGUAGCCGGCCUGAGAGGGCGACCGGCCACACUGGGACUGAGACACGGCCCAGACUCCUACGGGAGGCAGCAGUGGGGAAUCUUGCGCAAUGGGCGAAAGCCUGACGCAGCGACGCCGCGUGAGGGAUGACGGCCUC
RNAcentral lists this ribosomal RNA (388 nucleotides) under uncultured bacterium. RNAcentral describes it as "bacterial SSU rRNA". It matches the Rfam family "Bacterial small subunit ribosomal RNA", at positions 28 to 418 of the family's 1533-position model. The record is from RNAcentral.